CACAUUUCUCCAUGCAUAAAGUAUUUUUGUAUGAGAUUUUUUGCACCAUUCUGAUAUUGAUCAACCCUUCUCUAAGUUUAUAAGAUAAAGAUAAAGUUUGAUUUAAAAUUUAAUUCAAAUUUGAUUUAAAUUGAUGAUAAGGAUCAACCAACACUUGAAUUUGAACCGAAACUACUUUAUUCUUAUCCUUAUCUUCCAUGGGAUGCCAAUCUUAAAAGGAGAUCAGUUUUGUGCAAGAUUAGAAGUAUUUUUUUGGCAUGAGAAAUCUAAGGGAGG
This 276-nucleotide long non-coding RNA is filed under the name Elaeis guineensis (African oil palm). RNAcentral describes it as "long non-coding RNA (EGUI_LNC066626)". Lineage: Eukaryota; Viridiplantae; Streptophyta; Magnoliopsida; Arecales; Arecaceae. The record is from RNAcentral.